Molecule: ribosomal RNA, 657 nt
Filed under: Escherichia coli
Lineage: Bacteria; Pseudomonadati; Pseudomonadota; Gammaproteobacteria; Enterobacterales; Enterobacteriaceae
Description: partial 23S ribosomal RNA
Rfam family: Bacterial large subunit ribosomal RNA
Source: RNAcentral
GUUAAGCGACUAAGCGUACACGGUGGAUGCCCUGGCAGUCAGAGGCGAUGAAGGACGUGCUAAUCUGCGAUAAGCGUCGGUAAGGUGAUAUGAACCGUUAUAACCGGCGAUUUCCGAAUGGGGAAACCCAGUGUGUUUCGACACACUAUCAUUAACUGAAUCCAUAGGUUAAUGAGGCGAACCGGGGGAACUGAAACAUCUAAGUACCCCGAGGAAAAGAAAUCAACCGAGAUUCCCCCAGUAGCGGCGAGCGAACGGGGAGCAGCCCAGAGCCUGAAUCAGUGUGUGUGUUAGUGGAAGCGUCUGGAAAGGCGCGCGAUACAGGGUGACAGCCCCGUACACAAAAAUGCACAUGCUGUGAGCUCGAUGAGUAGGGCGGGACACGUGGUAUCCUGUCUGAAUAUGGGGGGACCAUCCUCCAAGGCUAAAUACUCCUGACUGACCGAUAGUGAACCAGUACCGUGAGGGAAAGGCGAAAAGAACCCCGGCGAGGGGAGUGAAAAAGAACCUGAAACCGUGUACGUACAAGCAGUGGGAGCACGCUUAGGCGUGUGACUGCGUACCUUUUGUAUAAUGGGUCAGCGACUUAUAUUCUGUAGCAAGGUUAACCGAAUAGGGGAGCCGAAGGGAAACCGAGUCUUAACUGGGCGUUAAGUU